GAUGAACGCUGGCGGCGUGCUUAACACAUGCAAGUCGAACGGAAAGGCCGAAGCUUGCUUCGGUACUCGAGUGGCGAACGGGUGAGUAACACGUGGGUGAUCUGCCCUGUACUUCGGGAUAAGCUUGGGAAACUGGGUCUAAUACCGGAUAUGACAAUCUCUUGGAUGGGGUUGUGGAAAGCUUUUGCGGUAUGGGAUGAGCUCGCGGCCUAUCAGCUUGUUGGUGGGGUAAUGGCCUACCAAGGCGUCGACGGGUAGCCGGCCUGAGAGGGUGUACGGCCACAUUGGGACUGAGGUACGGCCCAGACUCCUACGGGAGGCAGCAGUGGGGAAUAUUGCACAAUGGGCGCAAGCCUGAUGCAGCGACGCCGCGUGGGGGAUGACGGCCUUCGGGUUGUAAACUCCUUUCGCAACCGACGAAGCUUUUUGUGACGGUAGGUGGAGAAGAAGCACCGGCUAACUACGUG
RNAcentral lists this ribosomal RNA (467 nucleotides) under uncultured bacterium. RNAcentral's name for it is "partial 16S ribosomal RNA". It matches the Rfam family "Bacterial small subunit ribosomal RNA", at positions 28 to 507 of the family's 1533-position model. The record is from RNAcentral.